CUGGCCUCAGGUGAUCCUCCCACCUUGACUUCCCAGAGUACUGAAAUUAUAGGUGCAAGCCAGCACACCUGACCCUGGACUCUUACUUAGUACCAGCCAGUGCUCUAAGAGAUUUACUUGGAUUAACUCAUUUAAUCCUCAAAAUAAAACCAUGAGGUAUUGACUCAACUGGCUUUGUAUGCUGGGCACCACUUUGCAAACAGCUUACAGGAUGGACUGCAGUCCUCACAACGAUCUUCAAAGAGUGAUUCUGCCCCAUGCCAAACCCUUUCGCGAUGAUUGUCUCAUGUGACGCUUACAAUUCUGGGAGCCAGGCAGGACAGAUAGAGUGAUCAUCUCCAUUUUAUGGAUGAGGAAAUUGAUCCCCAAGAGUUGAAGUGACUUGCCCAAGGACAUGGUGAGUAAGGAGUCUGGACUUCCCGCAGGUUUGCUUGACUCUGAACUCCAGGUUCUGUCCAUGGCCCUGAGCUGCCAUUCCCCUGAGCUCCACACCCCACACCCCUCACCCCUCCAGAAGGAGCUAAGGGCAGAUUCUCCUCCCUUAUCCUCCAAGAAGUCAGGGGCUUCUUGCUCUGUUUGAAAUAAAAAGCAACUGCGUCUGCGCACCAGUGGCAGAGACGGACUUUGUACAAGCAUCGGGGUGAAAUGAACAUUCUUCAGGCAUGAGAUGUUACCUCUCCCCAUGUCUGGGUUAGGGUCCCCGCUUCAUGCUCUCACAACUCCUGAAUUUUGGCACCAUAACCCCAUCACACUGUACUGGAUUGGCUAGCAGGCUGGCUUACCAAUAGCCUAGAAUUUCCUUGACACGUCAAGAAAAAUCUCCCUGGUGCCCACUGGUCAAGCAUUUAGACUGUCCCCACCCACCUGCGUUCUGCAACAAGACCCCCUCUCCUGCAGGUGGCCUGCUCCCCCUGUACCUACCCAUCAGGUGAUGCCAGCCACCAAUGUGUCAGGAUAACCACACGGGCUUUCUUGGAGGCAGCAGUUUCAGUGAGGCAUUUUUUUGGUGUGUUUAUUAUACAAUUUUAACACCUAUAUUUUAAUUUUAGAAUAGUUUUAGAUGUACAGAAA
This 1071-nucleotide long non-coding RNA is filed under the name Homo sapiens (human). Its description in RNAcentral is "HSALNT0390542". The record is from RNAcentral. Lineage: Eukaryota; Metazoa; Chordata; Mammalia; Primates; Hominidae.